GAUGAACGCUGGCGGCGUGCCUAACACAUGCAAGUCGAGCGAACAGACGAUGAGCUCUUUCUCUUGCCGUUAGCGGCGGACGGGUGAGUAAGACGUGCAUAGCCUACCACUUUUUCUGGGAUAAUAUCGUGAGACCACUGCCGCUACUGGCUAAUAUAUUCAACGGCAGGGUUCAAGAGUGAUUGAGGCUUUUGCUGUUACUUUUAGCUGGAUCCGCGUCGCAUUAGCUAGUUGGUAAGGUAACGGCCUACCAAGGCGACGAUGCGUAGCCGACCUGAGAGGAUGAUCGGCCACACUGGAACUGAGACACGGUCCAGACUCCUACGGGAGGCAGCAGUGGGGAAUAUUGGGCAAUGGGCGAAAGCCUGACCGAGCAACGCCGCGUGGGUGAAGAAGGUCUUCGGGUCGUAAAGCUCUGUUAUUGGGAAAGAACAACAGUGUGAGUAACCACGCACGUUUUGACGGUACCUAAAGAAUAAGCAACGGCUAACUACGUG
Molecule: ribosomal RNA, 497 nt
Filed under: uncultured bacterium
Lineage: Bacteria
Description: partial 16S ribosomal RNA
Rfam family: Bacterial small subunit ribosomal RNA
Source: RNAcentral